GUUGCCAUCAGGUCAUGCUGGGGACUCUAACAAAACUGCCCGCGUAAGCGUGGAGGAAGGUGGGGGAUGACGUCAAAUCAGCACGGCCCUUACGUCCAGGGCUACACACGUGCUACAAUGGCCGGUACAGAGGGCAGCCACUUGGUGACAAGGAGCAAAAUCCUCAAAAAGCCGGUCUCAGUUCGGAUCGGAGUCUGCAACUCGACUCCGUGAAGUUGGAUUCGCUAGUAAUCGUAGAUCAGCAAUGCUACGGUGAAAUACGUUCCCGGGCCUU
RNAcentral lists this ribosomal RNA (274 nucleotides) under uncultured Bacteroidota bacterium. RNAcentral's name for it is "uncultured Bacteroidetes bacterium partial 16S ribosomal RNA". It matches the Rfam family "Bacterial small subunit ribosomal RNA", at positions 1114 to 1382 of the family's 1533-position model. The record is from RNAcentral. Lineage: Bacteria; Pseudomonadati; Bacteroidota.